UACGUAGGGGGCUAGCGUUAUCCGGAAUUACUGGGCGUAAAGGGUGCGUAGGCGGCCCCGUGUGUCGGAUGUGAAAGCUCCUGGCUUAACCGGGAAACGGCAUUCGAAACUGCGGGGCUAGAGUACAGGAGAGGAGAGCGGAAUUCUCGGUGUAGCGGUGAAAUGCGUAGAGAUCGAGAGGAACGCCGGUGGCGAAGGCGGCUCUCUGGAAUGAUACUGACGCUGAGGCACGAAAGCUGGGGGAGCAAACAGG
RNAcentral lists this ribosomal RNA (253 nucleotides) under uncultured bacterium. RNAcentral describes it as "partial 16S ribosomal RNA". It matches the Rfam family "Bacterial small subunit ribosomal RNA", at positions 524 to 776 of the family's 1533-position model. The record is from RNAcentral.